AGCUUUAGUGGCCCCUCGUAUUUGUGGGUAGAACAAAGAAUAUUUGUAAAAUCCGUCUUCAUCAAACUUUCUUGGCCUAAUGGUAACGUGUCAGCUCUUCAUCUUGACGGUGUUCCACAGUCAUUUAUAAUGAUGUUUAUCUUCUUAGUUUCAUAACUGGUUGCAUCAGCUCUCAGUACAACCUUUGCUUCUCUGUCAGCUGAAAAUACCUGUUUCUCUUUGCCUGACUCAGCUAUCGCUUAGAUUACUUGUCAGAGUCUUUGAGGUGAUGGAUUUAUUUGGGAAUUUUGUUUCAAAGGGUUCUUAUUUUAGGCCAGCAAGCAAAUAUGUUUGAAAACCACUGUCAUUUCUUGGAGGAAGGAAUAAAAAGUUAAUUAGUAGGUAAAAUAUUUUACAUAUGCAAUAUGUAACAAUAAUGCCAUCUAUUUAUGUGCGUGUCUCUCUAUAUAUAUAGUGUGUUUUGAGAUUUGUUGGUUUGGUUUGUUUAUAUUUAGUCUCACCCAGGUGUCCUUGAACUGGUAAUCCUCCUGCCUCUUGCCUAUUGAAAUAAGUUGAAUUAUCAACCAGUACAUUUCAUAAAAUAAAGUAUUUAGUAAUUAUUUAGUAAUUAUUAUUAAAGUAUUUAAAUAAUUAUUUAUUUAAUUAUUUAAAUGACAAAUUAAGAGAGUUCUAAAAGUAGGAAAAUUAAUCUUGAAAUUCUCAUCUAUCCUCACUCCAUCUGUUAUUGUUUCCUUUUCAUUUUUAAUGUUCUAUUCAUUUUAAUUUCUAAGAUAAACUUUUAUAAAAUUAUUUUUGUUUAUAAAUUAUUCACUGAUACCCUGUCUUUAACAUGUCAAAUGAAUUCAAAAGGAAUCUUAAUGAAGAGUAAGGUAUUCGUGAGGUUUAGUAGAUUGGAUUUCAAAAUAACAAAUUUUCUGAAGUCCUGAGUUAAAAAUCCAGCACUAUGUUUGAUCAUUUUUCAUCAAAAAUGUAUCUGAGUUUUUGAAUAAUCGCUAGUAGGAAUAUUCAAUCAUCACGUCACACAUUGUAAGCUAUUUAAUCUAGCUCUGAGAAUAGUAACUUCUUAAACAUUGAGUCUUUUAAGUAAGUUUGCAUUGGGUAUGCAUUGGCAAGAUAACUGAUUCUACAGCAAUGUUUUAAAACGUUCAACUUAUCUAGAAGACAGAUAAGAUACAGUAGUUAAUAUAAUAGUUACAUUGCAUAUAAGUAAGGGAGAUCCAGAUGGAAAUGGAUAUAUUUUGAUUCAGAGAAUCUUGCAAGAAACUGAAAGGAGCUGGUUGAUCUCAAAUAAAACUUCGCCAGUUUGUAUUUGCCGGAUUUAGUGGUUAAGACAGAGAUGUGGUUAAUUUUUGUAUAAACCCCAACAACCUGUUACACAUUGAUUCUUUCAUUCAACAAUAGUAUCUUCUCAUUGACAGGAACCCAGGGCUACAAAAAAUCCAAGGCAAGUCUUUUUUCAAGGAAUUUUCAAUUAGUUAGAAAUCUAAUAGUAGGCAACUAAAUAUAAUAGCAUAAAUUCUAAAAUAGUGGUGUAAAAAAUGUUGUAUGGAGAACAUAAGUGUUGCUUCCAGUCCUGUCUUAAGGAAUAUUUGCCUUCUAUUUUCAUUUGCAAAGAAAAAUAACAACUAGCAGAGUUUAAAUGAUUGCUUUGUAUUUGCCCUUACUUCCUUAUAGAAACACUGUUUAACAAAAAUCGUGAUUAUUAUUGAUUUUCAAAUAAAAAGUUUUCAUAUCAAUAUAUCACAAAUUCCUGAAACCAAAAAUGGAAGCAAACUGUGCAAAUGUACUCCCAGUGAUUUGUGGCAAUGUAGGGCAGAAAUAGCACAGAUAAAAACACCUUAAAUUUAAUUUUAUCCAGCUGUUUUGACUUCUUCAGUUUUAAGAGCCAAACUCACAUAAAUUAUGUUUACUAGCUUUCAUUUCUCCUUCUACGUCACACUAAAUGAACAGCCAACCUGAAGAAAACAAAGCAUAAAGGAAUUUCACUAACAAACUAUAGGAUAAUCCCUGGAGUAUAGGAGAGUAUUUUCACAGCUUUCAUGUCUGUAUUAUAUAUGUCUGAAUUAUAAACCUUGCAUAUUAAGGGUAAAUGCAAUUAAUUUUCUCACAGUGCUAUCCUGGUUCUCAGCAUGGGCACUUAAUUUUCUUCUCAUUGACUGGUUCAUAAAAAUUUAAUCAGUUCCCCCUGAAAAAAAGUUUUGGGAUAAAGGCUUAUGACUACUUAAAUAAUUUGUUUUUUUAAAAGAUUGGGUCUCUCAAUACUGUCCAGGCUGGUCUUAAACUCUUGGACUAAAGUGACCAUCCCAUUUUAGCCUCCUAAGUGCUGCAUUUACAGGUGUGUACCAUCUUGCUUGGUUUAUAAUUUAAAAAAUUUUAAGAUAUUAAUAUUUAUAUGUUCCAUAUUUAUAGGUACUAUGCCAAUAUUUUUAUUAUAUUUAUUUUUAUAGGUCAUUAACAAAAGUGUUUUUUGAAUUUGAUCAAGUAUGCUUAUUGGUACAUUUUAGGCAUACAUAAUAAUCAUAGACACUAUAGAGAAUUUAUAUCUGCAUAUGACACAACUUGAUUCUUUUUUCCCUCUAUUUUCCUACCCUUCCUCCAAUCCCCUUUCCCUUCCUUAUUUACAAAAACUUUGCUUUAAUUUUUUUCUUCCUUUUCUAUUAUUUUUUCUCUUCCUUUCCUUUCCCCCCAAUACUUAUAUAUAUAGCAACUCAUUAAAUAUUUCAACUUAGGGUAUAGCUCAGUUGUGGAGCACAUGCAUAGUACGUGUUCAGACCUCACCAACAUAAUCUAAAAAAUGUAAAAAUCAGUGAAUUCCUGGUGAAAUAUCAGGAAAAUAUUCUGAAAAUAUUCAGAAAGAAGGAAUAAAACAGUUAGUAAAUUUACUUUGUCCUAGGACUUCACUUACUGAAAUUUCUCAAUCAUAACAGUUUAAAAAUGACUACUAACAGGCACAUUAUUGCUGUGUGUAUCUAUUUUAGAUAACAUGUGCUAAGAGGGUUGAAAUCCAAAGCUUUCCAUUGUUUCUAAAGAACUGGCCUUAUUGGCUGCCUAUUAGGUUGUAAUACCCACAACCCUUUCUAACUGCUCAUUGUUUUGGGGUGGGGAUGUGUGUGGUAAAUGCCCUUAGUAUGCCUAUUUUUUUAAAUAGAAAAACAUGACUUUUUUGAAACAUUAACAUGGUGAUACAUCGUCCCCUUACAUUGUUCUAUCACUUGCUUACAUUGUUCUAAUCACUUGCUUAUUUAUGACAAUGAACUUUUUGACAGUUUUAUCCAUUAAUGUGCUGCUGCAUUCUGAGUUGUUAGGACAGUACUUGCCACGUUAGGGGACAAUCAAUGAAUAUCUCUUGAUUAAGCAAAUUUUCUGAGUCAUGUUGUUAUGGAAAUUUAAAAAACAUUUUAUUUUCAAUCUCCACCAUCAUUUUGUAAUUUAGGCCCAUCAAGUAUUACUGUUACAUUGUUGAAAAAUAAAAUUCAUCACAAGCUUAAAAUUUCUAGGUCAUGCAGCCUGUUAAAUGUAUCUUACUGAAUAUUUCACUUAAAAUAUAUGUAGCUUUAUUUGGAGCCUUUUUCCUUAUUUAUGAAGAAUUUCAAAACAAAUAUUUACUUACUGUCUUGAUAAGUAAAAUGUUAGGUCCUAGAUCUGCCUUUCAAAUACUAUUAUGUUUUGUUAAAAGUUACCCAAAACUUUACCCUUGCCUUCAGAAGGCAUUUUAAAUCCUGUAAGUCAAUCUAUAUCUUCUCUAGGUUCCCUGGCUUUUAAUCUUGUUAAAACCACAGAUAUAUUACCCAUCUAUAGCAUGAUAUCAUUUUUUUCUUUUUUCUUUAAAACUCAGUAUUACUAGAGAUGCUUUAACUGUUGGCCCCUAAAGUGAAGUAUAGCAAGCUUUUGCUAUGGAAAUUGACAUUCUAUUUUAGUUUAUGCUAAUUAUCUGUGACCAAAGGAAAACAACAUAUGCUUGCAAAGGUCUAAAUUGCAGAAUUAUGCUACAGAAUAUCCAAAACUGAUGAAGGAGCUUUAGAAAAAUUGGUUUGGUUUUUAUCUUUUUUUUAAUUCAUUAUAAAAACUGAUAUAAAUCUCUCUGUUUAUGGGGUACUGUGUGAUGCUUUGAAAUAUGUAUAUAGAUAGAUAGAUAGAGAUAUCUAUAUCCUCAGACACUCAUUCUUUCUUUAUGUUUAAAACAUUCAAAAUAUUUUCUUCCAGCUUUUGUGCAAUACAGAGUACAUUAUCAUUAUCUACAGUCUCCCUGUAGUACAACAAAACAUAAGAAUUUUUCUCUUAACUUGGUACCUGUUGAUUAGCUAUGCUUAAAAGGCAGAUUUACAUGCAAUAGAAUGGAAAGACCUUAAGUACUUAGUUUCAUGAAUAUUGACAUUUAUAUGCAUAUAUUAACUGCUAAUGCUUAUGAGACAUUAAUUUCCAUCACCUCUGAAAAGACACCUCCUGUCUUUUCCUGACAAAUCUCCCUUUGACCCCCAAGACAAUAUCCUAAUCUGUUCCACCAUAGAUUAGUUUACCCAUCUUCAUUUUAAUAUAAAUGGGUCUGGUUUCUUUAGCUUAGCAUAAUGUUUUGACAUUUUAUGUUAUUGAAUAUAACACUUUUUCCUUUCUUUGUGUUCCAUCCAUUGGGUUAGUUCCAGUUAUUGACUGUUAUAAAUAUGCAAUGGUAAAUAUUACUGUACCAGGGUUCAUGGGAACCUAUGUUUUCUUUUCUACUGGGUAACUCAUAGUGGAAUAGCUGACUGUUUCAGUCACUUUGGGUUGCUAUUUAAAACACAAUAGAUUGUAUGGCUUAUAAAUAGUAUACAUUUGUUUCUUACAGUUCUGGAGGAUGGAUGUCCAAAAUUAGGGUGUCAGCAUGGUUGGGUUCUGAUGAGGGCACUCUCCCAGGUCACAAACUGCCUAUUUCCCUGCAUUUUCACAGGGCCCAAAGACAGAGAGCUCCCUCUCUAGCCUUUUUUCAUAAGGGCACUAAUCCCACUCUUUAGGACUCUACCCCAUGAUCUAACUACCUCCCACAGGGGCCAUUUCCAAAUAGCAUCAAGUCAGGAUUAAAGUUUCAACAUAAGAAUUUGGGGGGGCACCAACAUUCAGUCUUUUGCACUGCGUAUAUUUACUUUUAUAAGUAAAUAUGAUUUUUAAAAGUGACUGAACUAGUAAUGUUUCACGUGGCAAAGAUUUUUAUUUCCUUUAGUUUUCAUUUAAUGUGCUGAAACUGCACUUAGCAUAUGUAUAGUUCUAAAUAAUCCACAUUUCCCCCAAAGUCUCUUGAUAACUAGUUAACAAAAUAGUCUUGGUGUUGGGAAAAUAAAACUUGACCUAGAGUAGUUUCCAUAGGUCCUAUGAUCUGUCAAACAAUGGGAAAAAACAUCUGGUUCUAAGGAUACUGUCUCCUUUGGUUAUUUAGAGAGUAAGGGAAAUGCUGCCCUUGAGAGUUUGUUGUUAUUUGGAUAUUGAAUGCUAUUAUCUGUGAAGUGUGUGAAGUCCAAUCCAAGAAUUUAAUUAAAGUUAUUUGGGAUCAGCAGUGCCAUUAGAUACCCAGAAGAGGCAAUUAUCAAUCUUCUCUGGAUGGAAACAUAUUCAACCAAUCCUCAAGUAAUUUCCCUUAUGAAAUCCCAAGAGAAGUGAGUUAUUAUCAAAAAUCACAAAACACACGAAGACUCAACAGAAACAACAAAUAGAAUCAAAUUUUCAAAGAAUUCAGUUACUUCAAUAUGAACAAUAUUUAUUUUGGUUCAGUAAAUAGAUGUGGCAUUAAAAGUUAUGAAUAAUAUCAGAAUAAUAUAAUUGGAACCUUAUCUAUCACCAUAUAAAAAUCAACUUAAAAUGACUUAAAAACAUAAAUGUAAGACCCAAAGCAUUUACAUUACUAGAAGAAAACACGAGAGAAAAGGUUUUGCAUUGAUUUAGCCAAUGACUUUCUGAGCAUGUCCUAGAAAGCAUAGGUAACAAAAGUAAAAUAAUACAAAUCAAAGUUAAACUAAAAAGCUUCUACCCAGUCAACAAUCAACAGAAUGAAAAAACUAUCAAUGGAAUGGGAGAAGAUACUUGCAAAUUAUAUCUAUUAAGGGAUUGAUAUCCUAUACAUAAUAAACUAUUACAAUUCAAUAACUAAAAAAGCAUAAAUAACUAAAAAGUAUGCAAAGGACUUAAAGUUUUCCCAAGACGUGUAAAUGAUGAAUAGGCAUGUGCAAAGGUGUUCCUUACUAAUCAUCAGAAAUACAAGUUAAAAUCACAAUGAGUUAUCCUUUCACAUUACUUAAGACACUAUUGUCCAAAAGACAAGAUAAUGUGUUGGUAAGGAUGUGGAAAAAAGGGAAUCCUUAACACAGUUGGUGAAAAUAUACAUUAGUUAACUAUUAUGGAGGUAUGUAUGCAUUAAAAAUGGAACUAUCAUAUGAUCCUGCAAUGCCAUUUCUUGGGUAUAUGCUGUAUUUUUAAAAAAACAAAUCAGUGUGUCAAAGAGACAUCCAGUUCCAUGUCACUGUAGCAUUACUCAUAAUAAUCCACAUCAAUGAAUGAAUGAAUGGUAAGGGUUCAUCACUGGAUGAAUAGAUACAGGAAAUACAUAUAUAUAUGUGUGUAUAUAUAUAUAUAUAUGUGUGUGUGUAUAUAUAUGUGUGUGUGUGUGAAAAAUUUGGAAAACUAGAAUUUCUAAUUGUGAAAAUAAAAUUACAAAUUAGAAAUGCAAGUGGUGAAGUAAACAGAUUAGGUACAACUGAAUAUUUAAUAAACUGGAAUACAUACUUGAAGAAAUUACCUAGAACAUAGCAUCGAGGUCCAAAUAAAUUUAAAAAAUAUGUAACAGAAGUUAAUAGAAAUGGAGAACAAAGGAAGAUAUUUCUUUUUUCUUUUACAUGUGUCUAUUUAUUUUCUUUUCCUCCUUAUAUAAAACACAAACUCCCUAGGGUUAGAAUUACAGGCAUGCACUUCCAUGACAGGUAUGUGCUUCCAAGUAUGUAAUCAGUAUUGCUGGAAAUGUGUCUUCAGGGUGGAUGAAGGAAGAUAUUUCUUUUUUUUUAAUUUUUUUUUUUUUUGGUCUUUUUUCAUUUUUAUCGGUACCAGGGAUCGAACUCACGACCGCCUGCUUGCAAGGCAGGUGCUUAUGCCGCUGAGCUAAACCCCCAGCCCCAAGGAAGAUAUUUCUAAUCAGGGCUGCAAAAGAAGGGAAGAUAAAAUAGGGAAAAGACCAUAUUUGAAGAAAUAAUGUCUGAGAAUUUUAUAGAAUCAAGGAAAGACAUACUCAGAUUUAGGAAACUCAACAAUUCCCAAAAAAGAAUGAAUAGAAACAAAUUCUGCAGAACAUGAAGCUAAAGAUGUUUUUAAAAACCAGAGAUAAAGGACUUCCAGGAGAACAUAGCAGAUAGAUAACAGCAGCUGUGGAGGCUCUCCGAGAUAGCCAGCUUAAAAUCCAGAAAUGGUGUGGUGUGAGGAGUCCUGAGCAAGGGGAGAUAUACCCUGCUGACCCAGGAACAAACUAAGUUGAGAGAAACCAAUUGGAAAUGUAAUCCCGGUGCUAUAACUGGAACAGAUAAAAUCUCAGCAGAAGCUGGAACCCACGUGGCGAUUUGAAUUUCCUGCCGCCACUGCUGCAUCUGAAUAAGCACAGCAGGAACAGAGAGGCGAAACCUCUGAGAGUGGGAAUUGGCAAAUGGAGCUGAGAGCGGAACCGGCGGGGAGCCCUGCAUUGACCUAUGGUGAGUGAGAGGAGCAGGGACCCUUCCAUAGACUAGGAGGCUCCAACAGAGGACAUUCUGGGACCUGGCAGACUAGCUGGAACAGGACGCUGCAGUGACUUUAGUCACAUAUUCCCUCUCAAGCGGGAUUGGUAGGGAGCCUUGACCUGGGUGACGCCACGGACUAAGACCCAGUAGGCUAGCCCAAAUCAGAUCCCAGUGCCUGGCGGUGCACUCUAGCAGUGAAGCUUUCAGUAGGUUGACUGACCUGGAGGGGUGGGCACAGGAGACUGCCCAAGUCUGUGUCUCCCUGGUACACUGCAGGGGGCGGGAACACCUAGCCGGCGGAUUCAAACAAACUGUAACUGACAAAGAAAAAAACUGGGCCUCCUAUAUACGCUUGCAUGGAAGGAACAAAAAGUAUGGGAAGAGGGAGCAACAAGAAAGGGUCCUCAGCCCCCAAUCCUGAGAACACUGAUAAAUGCAAAGGUAAAUGCAAAGGAGAAUGAGGACAGAAAACAUGCAAUAUCAGACACGGCACCAAUAGACAGUAUCUCUGGAGCCUCAUAGACAAGUUCAAAAGUGAAGUAUUUAAUGACCUAAAGCAAGAUAUUAGUAGAAUAAUUUGAGAAAUGCUAAGCACCACCCAAGAAAAAACAGAUGGUGGAAUGGAAGAACAGAAAAAAAGAGGAGAAUUGUUUGAUGGAGAAAAUAGAGAAAACAUAGAAUAUGUGAAGCAGGUUCAAAGAGAUUACCAGGAAACUAAAAACCCUAUUGAAAGCUGGCAUAAUAGCUUGAAAGAAACUAAGGAUAGAUUAUCUGAACUAGAGGACAGAUUUGUAAUGUGGGAGCAAGAAAUGAAAAACUUCUUAAAAAUAACAAGAAAACAAACAGCAAUAAUACAAAGGCUUGAAGAUGAUAAGAGGAUCUAUAACUUAAGAAUUAAGAAUGUAAAAGAAGAAGUAGGGACACAAACAAAUGAACUACAAAGGCUAUUCACAGAAAUAAUCCAGGAGAAUUUCCCUAAUCUAACAAAAGGUAAAGAUACUCAGAUGUAUGAGGCAUACAGGACCCCAGCCACCUACAACCCAAACAGAGCUACACCCAGGCAUAUAAUAAUCAAAAUUCCAGAAAUCCAAUAUGAGAACAGAAUAUUAAAAGCCAUCAGAGACAAGAAACAGAUCACUUACAAGGGAACACCCAUCAGAAUUACAGCAGACUUUUCGGCACAAAACAUCAAAUCACGAAGAGCAUGGGGGGAAAUAAUUCAAGCUUUGAAAGAUAAUAACCUCCAGCCAAGAUUGAUAUAUCCUGCACAACUAUCCCUGGAAAUUGAUGGAAAAACUAGGUGCUUCCAGGAUAGAGAGGAACUAGGGGAAUUUGCAACCACCAAUUCAAAUGUACAGAGAAUACUGCAGGACAUUCUAAAAAAAGAAAAAUACCAAGAUUCCAGAAACAGUGGAAGAGAGGCUACAAUGAAUAGAGCAGAAAUCAAAAUGAAAAAAGACAAACUGACAACUAAUGACAGAAAAAGAGCUCAACAGAAAUGAGGCAGAGAAGGUUGAAUGGUAGGAACUGUUAUUUUGUAGAAAACAAGACAUCAUAAUAGCUAGUGCUGAUUUAAUAUCAUCUUGUUUUGAAGUCCCACCAAGCUUUUGUUCUUCUGUUUCCAUCGGUCUUAACAUGUUGUAUCUUAUUGGAUUUUAUUAUAUGUGAUAAUAUAAACAAAAACUUUUAUAGACAAGGAGAUUAUACAGAAACCGUUGUUCAUUUUCUGUUAGUUGGUUCUAAAUACCCUGUAAUACUGUCAUUCUCUUGAAUGGUUUUACAUUGUCUUGAUGUGUUUGAUGCUACAGUAUAUGAAGUUAUACUCAAGGAUUUCAAGGAAAGAGACGCUAUGGAAGCCUUUUGGAGCUAUCCUGUCUGGAAAGGUGUUUAGAACCGAAUAUCACUUACUCACUCUCAUCCUUAAAUUAUUCUUUCGUGACUUUCCUGCAACCAGUGAAGGACACUCAGUCUACUGUGGGACUCUUUCUACAU
This is an RNA transcript of Cavia porcellus (domestic guinea pig), 9716 nucleotides long. It is a transcript of the gene named transmembrane protein 156, with no coding region annotated. The transcript is spliced from 2 exons. NCBI's taxonomy places the organism in Eukaryota, Metazoa, Chordata, Mammalia, Rodentia, Caviidae. The record is from RefSeq and is a predicted model, not a curated record.